AGGGACGGCCAUUCACGACCUCGUGCUCACUGACCCCCAUGUGUAAGAGACUACCGCAUGCGUGCCGUGCUCUAAACAAGCCACGUCUGCCUGGACAUGUGCGUUCCCGGGGGCUGUGACGGGAAAGGCGCCCCCCACAGGUGUGCGAGUGGCGGCGGGAAGCCUAUCUUUGCCCUGCACGUAAGGAACACUGCUUCUACGAGGAUGCCUGGUUCCAGUCUGCUGUCCCCCGUGACAAAGACAGUUGGAGGCUGGAGAACACAGAAGCCAGUCUCUGCAAGCUGUUAAAUCAGCCGCUGUCGCCCUGAGGCAGGGUGGAGAGGGCAAGGGCGGAUCUGGAGACUUCCCGCACAGAAGGCAACUAUUCCAGGAAAUAUGUCCACUGGGUGGAUUCACUGAACUGAUGCUUCAAAACACACACGGUCAACAAAGAAUGCAAAUGUCACCACGCAUGACGCACGCCUUCAAUGUUACUAAGAGCCCGAGAACAAAACAACCAACCAAUUACACGU
Molecule: long non-coding RNA, 512 nt
Organism: Pteronotus mesoamericanus
Lineage: Eukaryota; Metazoa; Chordata; Mammalia; Chiroptera; Mormoopidae
Exons: 3
Source: RefSeq, a predicted model, not a curated record